GCGCGGCAGCGGGGGUGGGAGCUGCGGACGGCCAUGUGCGCGGCGGAGAGGCCGGGUGGCCACCGAACCUUCCCGCCUGUUCUGCGUGGCUCACACCUGUAAUCCCAGUGCUUUGGGAGGCCGAGGCAGAUGGAUCACUUGAGGCCAGGAGUUCCAGACCAGCCUGGCCAACACGGCGAAACCCCAUCUCUACUAAAAAUACAAAAAAUUAGCCAGGCCUGGUGGUGCACGCUUGUAAUCCCAGGUACUUGGGAGGCUAAGGCAGGAGGAUCACUUGAACCCAGGGGAGGCUGCAGUGAGCUGAGAUCGUGCCACUGCACUCCAGCUUGGGCAACAGAGCAAGACUCCAUCUUAAAAAGAAGAAAGAAAGAACUUCUAUUUUUUAAAUGUUUUUUCCUUUCAUUGAACUCCAUUUAUAGCCUUUCCAUUCAGAGCAUAAAGAUUAAAUUUUAAAACAAGGCUUGGCACCCUGGCUUAUGCCUGUAAUCCCAGCACUUUGUGAGGCCAAGGUGGGCGGAUCACCUGAGCUCAGAAGUUUGAGUCCAGCCUGGCUAACAUGGUGAAACCCCAUCUCUAAAAGAGUACACAGUCCUAGAGCAGUGGUGUGCGCCUGUAGUCCUAGCUACCUGGGAGGCUGAACCAGGAGAAUUGCUUGAGCCUGGGAGGCAGAGGUUGCAGUGAGCCAAGAUCGCACCAUUACACUCCAGCCUGGGUGACAGAGAGAGACCCUGUGCCCCUCAAAAAAAUGUUUUUUUUAAACAAGAAUCUCUCAGGCAUACUGAAAUGUUGAAGAGGAAAUUAUAUUAAUAUCUGGGACUUGUUUCCAAAUUUGGAAUUGGGGCAGGGUGUAAAUUGUUGGCAAUAUCAAAGAAACGAGGAGUUGGAAUGAUAAUUGUAGAAGCUGCAUGAUAGAUACACAUUCUUUAUACUUCUGUAUAUGUUGAAAUUUUUUAUCAAAUUAUAAUUGUGUAUAAUGACUAAUUAUGCUUUCAUUGUCUAUUCUGUGUGGUUAUGUUACUUGCUGAAAUUAAUACAUAAAGAGUCUUCAACUUAAAUGACUUAUCAAGCAUAAAUAUUAAAAUACUGGAUGUUACUACA
This 1098-nucleotide long non-coding RNA is filed under the name Homo sapiens (human). RNAcentral describes it as "HSALNT0381290". The record is from RNAcentral. Lineage: Eukaryota; Metazoa; Chordata; Mammalia; Primates; Hominidae.